This 466-nucleotide ribosomal RNA is filed under the name uncultured bacterium. Its description in RNAcentral is "partial 16S ribosomal RNA". It matches the Rfam family "Bacterial small subunit ribosomal RNA", at positions 28 to 523 of the family's 1533-position model. The record is from RNAcentral.
GAUGAACGCUGGCGGCGUGCCUAACACAUGCAUGUCGAGCGAACCCUUCGGGGUGAGCGGCGGACGGGUGAGUAACGCGUGGGUAACCUGCCCUAUACACACGGAUAACGUACCGAAAGGUACGCUAAUACGGGAUAAAGUUGUUGGAUGGCAUCUUCUAACAAUCAAAGCUCCGGCGGUAUAGGAUGGACCCGCGUCCGAUUAGCUAGUUGGUGAGGUAAUGGCUCACCAAGGCGACGAUCAGUAGCCGACCUGAGAGGGUGAUCGGCCACACUGGAACUGAGACACGGUCCAGACUCCUACGGGAGGCAGCAGUGGGGAAUAUUGCACAAUGGGCGAAAGCCUGAUGCAGCAACGCCGCGUGAGCGAUGAAGGUCUUCGGAUCGUAAAGCUCUGUCCUCAAGGAAGAUAAUGACGGUACUUGAGGAGGAAGCCCCGGCUAACUACGUGCCAGCCGCCGCAGUAA